Ipomoea nil (Japanese morning glory) is the source of this 1845-nucleotide RNA transcript. It is a transcript of the gene named zinc finger CCCH domain-containing protein 13, with no coding region annotated. The record is from RefSeq and is a predicted model, not a curated record. NCBI's taxonomy places the organism in Eukaryota, Viridiplantae, Streptophyta, Magnoliopsida, Solanales, Convolvulaceae. The transcript has 12 exons.
GCUAAAAAUCCUAAAAUGCUCUCUUCGUCUCUCUAGCCCGAUUUCUGACUCUCCUCGAGACUAGGGUUUAUGUGCCAACGAACAAUUGCAGAAUUUACGAAGCUCCCAACUAUUUUCAUCUAACUUGGAAGCGCUCCCUCGUAAUCUCCUUACAUUUUCAUCGACAUGGUUGAAAGGAAGCUCUACAAAACCAAGCUCUGCGUGCUCUAUCAGAAAGGCCACUGCCACCGCCAAAGCUGCUCCUUUGCCCACGGCGACGCCGAGCUCCGCCGCUUCUCCGCUCCCUUCGAUGGAAGGCGGGACUAUCGAGGUGAUUUGAGAGAAAAGCUAGAUAGAAGGCGUUCUCCAGUGCAUAGAUACUCUCCUAAACGAGAUUCAAGUGGGAGACAUGCAUCCCAUGGUGACAGUCCUUCUGGGUCUCUUGGGAAAAGGAGAAAACACCAAAAGAGGCAGCAUCCAGAUGGCCAGAGUGACUUCUCUGAAAGUCUCCAAACAUCAAAUGGGACUGAAGAUCUUUUGAAGAACAAGAAGUGCAUAUCUGCUGAUUCUAAAGAUGCCCUUAAGAUAAGGCAAUUGCAAUCUGAAAUCAAGAUGCUGGAUGACCGCAAAAGAGAAUUGGAGGUUUACCUGGAAGAUAGAUCUCGAGAUGCAGACAAUCUGACCUUAAAAGUUCAAGAGCUUGAAAUGCAGUUGUUCAAGGAAAAAGAAGAAUGUAAAAGGAUUACAUCAAAAAUUAAGAAGUUCACUGAGGCACAUAAGCGUCUCUCUCGUUUACAAGAUGAAGUCAAGAGGUCAGAUGCUCAACUUCAAAAGCUUGGUGAAAAACUUUGCUCAAAUGCUGGUGCAAGUGGAGAUGAUUUAAGCAUGAACAUAAUGACUGAUGGAGAAGCUGUAGGUAUUUAUCCUACUACCUAUGGUGGGAUGAAAAAGAACAUGUCCCCACACAAGAAAAGGUCACGAGUGAGCUUGGGAGCUGUGGAAGCACCAGAUCAAGGUAAUGCAUCAAAAGGAGGAGCUGGCAUGGAAAAGAUAAGAUUGGAAAAUCUAUCUCGAAGAAAUGUGCUUCAGAUUCGAUCUAGUAAUGACAAGAAAGUUAAAGCAGAUAUCAAUACGAAAAAUGGUUAUCAGGUUACAGCAAAUGAAGACAGGCCUAAAAAGGGGAUAGAUCAUUCUACUAACACAACAUUGGUGGAAAAGCCCAAGGUUUUCUCGGAUGCCUGCCUUUUGUUGCCUCCAACAGGCUUGGCAGCUCAUGCAACAGAUGAAGAUGUUGAAAUUGUUGAAAUGGAGGAAAAGCGUGAGAUGUUUGGAAAUUCUGCUGCAGUAUCUGGAAAGGAAGCUGUUUCUAAUGUCACAAAGUUUCCUUUUCUACCACCCCCACCACCGCCCCCGAUCUCUAAAGAUGCAUAUUCACAGCUCAAGGGUGAAGAUGAGAAUGUGGACAUAGAUGGGGUUGACGAAGAGACAGUGGAGGUGGAUAUUGUUUAACAUUUGCUUCCCUAACUAUAUGAUACUGCAAGCUGUAGUAUUUUGGUAUAUAUUCUUGUGCAUCAUCUCAUUUUAGGACUAGGGAGCACUGAGCUACUAUACAAUUCUAUGUACGAAUGAUAGGCACGGCAGGCUGGAGAAGGGGGAGGGAUAGAGUUCUGUAUAGCAGGUAUAUUAAUCCCUAACAAGUUUGCUAUGCUUCAUUUUGAGGGCAAGGAUUUAUCCGCUUUCUGUAGUGUAUGGAAUUCUCAUGUCUCAUAUACACGUCGAUGAACUUCUAGUUACAAUCUGGUGAACAAUGCACUCCAUUUUCCCAUUUACUCUUUUGGUAUCUAUGAGUUCCUCUGUUCUAAUUUU